RNAcentral lists this ribosomal RNA (1352 nucleotides) under uncultured bacterium. RNAcentral describes it as "bacterial SSU rRNA". It matches the Rfam family "Bacterial small subunit ribosomal RNA", at positions 28 to 1381 of the family's 1533-position model. The record is from RNAcentral.
GACGAACGCUGGCGGCGUGCUUAACACAUGCAAGUCGAACGGAAAGGCUUCUUCGGAGGUACUCGAGUGGCGAACGGGUGAGUAACACGUGGGCAAUCUGCCCUGCACUUCGGGAUAAGCCUGGGAAACUGGGUCUAAUACCGGAUAGGACCUCAAGACGCAUGUCUUCUGGUGGAAAGCUUUUGCGGUGUGGGAUGGGCCCGCGGCCUAUCAGCUUGUUGGUGGGGUGACGGCCUACCAAGGCGACGACGGGUAGCCGGCCUGAGAGGGUGUCCGGCCACACUGGGACUGAGAUACGGCCCAGACUCCUACGGGAGGCAGCAGUGGGGAAUAUUGCACAAUGGGCGCAAGCCUGAUGCAGCGACGCCGCGUGGGGGAUGACGGCCUUCGGGUUGUAAACCUCUUUCACCAUCGACGAAGGUCCGGGUUUUCUCGGAUUGACGGUAGGUGGAGAAGAAGCACCGGCCAACUACGUGCCAGCAGCCGCGGUAAUACGUAGGGUGCGAGCGUUGUCCGGAAUUACUGGGCGUAAAGAGCUCGUAGGUGGUUUGUCGCGUUGUUCGUGAAAUCUCACGGCUUAACUGUGAGCGUGCGGGCGAUACGGGCAGACUAGAGUACUGCAGGGGAGACUGGAAUUCCUGGUGUAGCGGUGGAAUGCGCAGAUAUCAGGAGGAACACCGGUGGCGAAGGCGGGUCUCUGGGCAGUAACUGACGCUGAGGAGCGAAAGCGUGGGGAGCGAACAGGAUUAGAUACCCUGGUAGUCCACGCCGUAAACGGUGGGUACUAGGUGUGGGUUUCCUUCCUUGGGAUCCGUGCCGUAGCUAACGCAUUAAGUACCCCGCCUGGGGAGUACGGCCGCAAGGCUAAAACUCAAAGGAAUUGACGGGGGCCCGCACAAGCGGCGGAGCAUGUGGAUUAAUUCGAUGCAACGCGAAGAACCUUACCUGGGUUUGACAUGCACAGGACGCGUCUAGAGAUAGGCGUUCCCUUGUGGCCUGUGUGCAGGUGGUGCAUGGCUGUCGUCAGCUCGUGUCGUGAGAUGUUGGGUUAAGUCCCGCAACGAGCGCAACCCUUGUCUCAUGUUGCCAGCGGGUAGUGCCGGGGACUCGUGAGAGACUGCCGGGGUCAACUCGGAGGAAGGUGGGGAUGACGUCAAGUCAUCAUGCCCCUUAUGUCCAGGGCUUCACACAUGCUACAAUGGCCGGUACAAAGGGCUGCGAUGCCGUAAGGUUAAGCGAAUCCUUUUAAAGCCGGUCUCAGUUCGGAUUGGGGUCUGCAACUCGACCCCAUGAAGUCGGAGUCGCUAGUAAUCGCAGAUCAGCAACGCUGCGGUGAAUACGUUCCCGGGCCU